CUAGAACGAUAGGUCAUGCAUGCCUUAUAUAAUUAACCUAUACGUGUAUAAUUCCAACGCAGCACUGUGCGUCGGGCUGCCACUAAAGUAUAUUAAACAAGUAAACGCAAUGGCGAGGUGUAAACAAACUAAUUGAAUUAGAACAAUUAUGUAUACCAAGACAUCUUCAUUCAUCGGAUACACAUUUUAGUAUUCGUUGAUUUCAGUAAUGAAAUUAAAACUUUAAAUUCAAAUAACUGAGUUUUUAACUCUAGAUAGACACAUUAUACGUUCCUCGCAUCUGAGAAAGAACAUUUCUACUCACGUAAAAUGUUUCGGGACUCAUAAGACCAAGCCAUUGUGGUAAAAUUUGCCUUCGAAGUAUCACUGAAAAUAAAUUAAAUCUGUUCGCACAUUCGGUUGGUCUAACGCAAGGCUGCAUAAUAUACUUAACAAUACCCUCUCUUGUUAAGUGAGCAUAAUUUUAUGUUUCUCACUUGUACAUGUCCAUGGACCCAACAACACUUCUGUUGUCUUACAUACAAGAAAUCAUGCUGGAAUAGGCAUACUUAACCCAGUUCCAACAAAUGUAACAGAUGUUGGAUGAUACUAAAAUACAGCAUAGCACAAAGUGGUGAAGAUCCAGUGAACAACAUACUUCAAUGUUUCCAGCAUUUUUGACACAUCAUGUAUAAACACACAAAACACAACGUGCUAGUUUUUAUACAGUACUUAAUACAAAUAAAAAUUAUCAUGUAUUAUAUAAUGGAACCAAUUGUUACAGCCACAUUCAUUCAACUAACUGACCCGAAGGUAUGUUAAAGUGGGGCAUCUAUCCAAAGCUUAGUCAUCACACCAUGUUCAUAUUUAUGUUUUUAAAAGAGCCAAAAAUACGUCACGUGCAAAUAUCCCACUUUCAUUUUUUGCUGCAGGCCAUCAUGUUAGGCGACACCUCUCGUUACAUCCAUUGUGUCAAUGGCAGGUACAAUUUUUAAUGGUUAAAAUACUUAUUUUCAUUUCAUUUUGGACUAGUCUUUGAGAAUGCACUUUUAUGCACCAAACCAUGAAUUAGAAGAAACAAAUUAAAAUACCUCUAAUUAAUAUUACUAACAAGAAGGUCAAAGAUUAAUCACCUCAUCAAAAUUCCUGCCUCAGCCAGGAAUCAAAUCCCAGACAUCCAACCCAUGGGCAUUCACUUUACCUUGGUAAAAGAUAACCUGAUAAUGUAUAAAUUCUGUAAUUGACAUUUUUUAUGUUUCACAUCUUGGUAGCAGCAGUAACUAGAAACUUUCCUGAAUUUCAAAUUCAACAGCUGAUCAUAAUGAAUGAAACCCAGGGGAACCUCUCAAGUAACCCAGGGUCCACAGAACAGUUUGGGAAUCGCUAGUCUACUAGAAGAUUGCACUUUAUAUAUAUCUUCAAGCACUCUGUGUCAAUGACAUACGGUUAUGUAUUAUCUAAUAUGUAAAAAAUUAUUCAUUUCUAAGAUCCAGUUUACAACUUUGGCAGGCUCACAGAUAAUCUUCAUCACAUCUAAAUCUUUAAUAUGUUAAGAAUGUAAUAAAAGACAUGAUGCAUA
Long non-coding RNA from Zootermopsis nevadensis, 1558 nucleotides. RefSeq lists it as uncharacterized. NCBI's taxonomy places the organism in Eukaryota, Metazoa, Arthropoda, Insecta, Blattodea, Termopsidae. The record is from RefSeq and is a predicted model, not a curated record.